RNAcentral lists this ribosomal RNA (468 nucleotides) under uncultured bacterium. Its description in RNAcentral is "SSU rRNA". It matches the Rfam family "Bacterial small subunit ribosomal RNA", at positions 26 to 518 of the family's 1533-position model. The record is from RNAcentral.
AGAAUCAACGCUGGCGGCGUGCCUAACACAUGCAAGUCGAACGAGAAAGUGGAGCAAUCCAUGAGUAAAGUGGCGACCGGGUGAGUAACACGUGACUAACCUACCUUCGAGUGGGGGAUAACCUCGGGAAACCGAGGCUAAUACCGCAUAACAUCGCAAGAUCAAAGCAGCAAUGCGCUGGAAGAGGGGGUCGCGGCUGAUUAGCUAGUUGGCGGGGUAACGGCCCACCAAGGCGAAGAUCGGUAGCCGGCCUGAGAGGGCGCGACGGACCGACGACUGGAACUGAAACACGGUCCAGACUCCUACGGGAGGCAGCAGUGGGGAAUUUUGCGCAAUGGGGGAAACCCUGACGCAGCAACGCCGCGUGGAGGAUGAAGGCCUUCGGGUUGUAAACCCCUUCAGCAGGGACGAAGCGAAAGUGACGGUACCUGCAGAAGAAGCGCCGGCUAACUACGUGCCAGCAGCCGC